GAUGAACGCUGGCGGCGUGCCUAAUACAUGCAAGUCGAGCGAACAGACGAGGCUCUUGCUCCUCUGAUGUUAGCGGCGGACGGGUGAGUAACACGUGUAUAACCUCCCUAUAAGACUGGGAUAACUUCGGGAAACCGGAGCUAAUACCGGAUAACCUGCUGAACCGCAUGGUUCAACAGUGAAAGACGGUCUUGCUGUCACUUCUAGAUGGAUCCGAGCCGCAUUGGCUAGUUGGUAAGGUAACGGCUUAUCAAGGCUACGAUGCGUAGCCGACCGGAGAGGGUGAUCGGCCGCACGGGAGCGGAGACGCGGUCCAGGGUACUACGGGAGGCAGCAGUAGGGAAUCGUCCGCAAUGGGCGAGAGCCUGACGGAGCAGCGCCGCGUGAGUGAAGAAGGUCUUCGGAUCGUAAAACUCUGUUAUUAGGGAAGAACCAAUGUGUAAGUAACUAUGCACGGCGUGACGGUACCUGGUAAGAAAGCCACGGCUAACUACGUG
RNAcentral lists this ribosomal RNA (497 nucleotides) under uncultured bacterium. Its description in RNAcentral is "partial 16S ribosomal RNA". It matches the Rfam family "Bacterial small subunit ribosomal RNA", at positions 28 to 507 of the family's 1533-position model. The record is from RNAcentral.